Molecule: small RNA, 76 nt
Filed under: Paenilisteria rocourtiae
Lineage: Bacteria; Bacillati; Bacillota; Bacilli; Caryophanales; Listeriaceae
Description: Listeria rocourtiae Listeria sRNA sbrA
Rfam family: Listeria sRNA sbrA
Source: RNAcentral
AUACAUCUAGAUCCAUACCCCUAAACUCCCUAGAUGUCUUGAGUGGUACGUUUAAAUACGCUAUCGCUCUUUUUUG